UGUUGUUGCUGUUGUGGGAGCUGUGCCUGCGCAUAAAUAUAAACAACAGCGCGAAAAUUUGCAAGCGUGCGGCUUUUCAUAAGCUUGUUUACCCUUCACACACACAGGCACACGCACAACGGGGCGUAUGAGUAAUGGGACUGAAGAAACCGACUAGCAGCCCGAAGCGAACCAACACCUGCCACACUGCCACAGAUAAUUGUCUCAAAACAUGAAGCUCUGAUCGAGUAGAUAUUGUUAAGAAGUAUACUGUUAAAGGUAUAAUAAAGUUGUGUAAGAAUUUAUGCAAACAAGAAAUUAAAAAUGAUGUGCACCGAAACGCAGAUCAAGUUCUUUUCUUUGAAGUCGAUUUUUAUCGGGAUGCCUUACCUGUGAAAUAUAAUUUCUUAAGGAACAGAUUUGUUCUCCGUCUUCUUUCUCCAACUGCCGCCCAGCAUAUUUUAUAACGAGCUGACAAUAAAUUUGAAGUGAAUCCCAUCUGGAAAUUGUGACUUCA
This is a non-coding RNA of Drosophila virilis, 496 nucleotides long. NCBI's taxonomy places the organism in Eukaryota, Metazoa, Arthropoda, Insecta, Diptera, Drosophilidae. The record is from RefSeq and is a predicted model, not a curated record.